UAGCGAACCUGCGGAGGUCAUUG
Molecule: ribosomal RNA, 23 nt
Filed under: Musa ornata
Lineage: Eukaryota; Viridiplantae; Streptophyta; Magnoliopsida; Zingiberales; Musaceae
Description: partial 18S ribosomal RNA
Source: RNAcentral